AGAUUGAACGCUGGCGGCAUGCCUUACACAUGCAAGUCGAACGGUAGAGUAGCAAUACUCGAGAGUGGCGAACGGGUGAGUAAUAUAUCGGAACGUGCCCAGUCGUGGGGGAUAACGUAGAGAAAUUUACGCUAAUACCGCAUACGAUCUACGGAUGAAAGCGGGGGAUCGCAAGACCUCGCGCGAUUGGAGCGGCUGAUAUCAGAUUAGGUUGUUGGUGAGGUAAAAGCUCACCAAGCCGACGAUCUGUAGCUGGUUUGAGAGAACGACCAGCCACACUGGGACUGAGACGCGGCCCAGACUCCUACGGGAGGCAGCAGUGGGGAAUUUUGGACAAUGGGCGAAAGGCCUGAUCCUGCAAUGCCGCGUGCAGGAAGAAGGCCUUCGGGUUGUAAACGUGUACGUUUUGUACGGUAACGAAAGGCUACUUUACUAAUAAACGGGGACCCAGUACGAACGGUACCGUAAGAAUAAGACGACCGGACUAACUACGUAGCUAGCAGCCGACGGUAAUCGUGUA
This 520-nucleotide ribosomal RNA is filed under the name uncultured soil bacterium. RNAcentral's name for it is "bacterial SSU rRNA". It matches the Rfam family "Bacterial small subunit ribosomal RNA", at positions 26 to 529 of the family's 1533-position model. The record is from RNAcentral.